This is a small nucleolar RNA of Saimiri boliviensis boliviensis (Bolivian squirrel monkey), 102 nucleotides long. RefSeq annotates it as small nucleolar RNA U13. The record is from RefSeq and is a predicted model, not a curated record. Lineage: Eukaryota; Metazoa; Chordata; Mammalia; Primates; Cebidae.
AUCCUUUUGUAGUUCCUAAGUGUGAUAAUUCAGUGUUCACGUGCAUGUAUGAGAAAUGUGCCCUCAAUCCUUGUUAUGACGCGGUCCAUUACCCAUCUGAUG